Long non-coding RNA from Gallus gallus (chicken), 761 nucleotides. RefSeq lists it as uncharacterized. NCBI's taxonomy places the organism in Eukaryota, Metazoa, Chordata, Aves, Galliformes, Phasianidae. The transcript is spliced from 2 exons. The record is from RefSeq and is a predicted model, not a curated record.
ACAUCCAACCCAAACAUUCCUGACCACUCAGAAACUGCAGGACACCAUGGUAGCAUGCAAUGUGGACAUGGAUCACUGACCAUAACCUUCAGAGAUCACCCCAACCUCUCUCUCCUGCUUCUUACCUUUAGGGAACCACAGAAUAUGCCAGGUCUGUCAAACUGCUGGAUAACUGCUAAUCCCCAGAAACAGAGAGGAAUUGCAGCCCAAAUGGGGAGAGGUGCAUAACACCCCCUGUGUCACCCUGCUGCAGUCACCCGGGCAAGAUCAGCCUGAGUGCAGCACAGCACAUUGGUCUUGGUCCACUUCCAUAAGAGCAGCUGAACAGGAUCCCGCAGGACAGCUCCAUAGAAAGGGUUCCAAGCCCAUCUCCCUCAGCAUGAGACUGAGCACUGGGAUUUCAGAGUGCUGCUGGGAUCGCCAGGUGACACAGAAAACCACACGGGUGACUCCAGCAGCUGGCAGAAGGACUUCGCAACUCAGGCAAAACUGCCAGCCCUGAGACAUGGGAGACAGUGCUGGUUUUGGAGGAUGGUGGGAAUUACCUGCAACUGUUAACUGCUUCAAGAUGAUAAAACCUAUUCUGCUUUCUCCUCUGUUCUUUCCAUAAGGCUUCAGAUGCUGUUCAGCCCUUACAAAAGAUACAACUUUGGACAAUGGGGGAAACCCAAGCAUUUGCUGCUGAACAAUGGCAUCUAUUCAAGCCUCAGCCUAGCUCUGCUUGUUAAUUACAAAAGUAAACAAAGAAAAAUAGAAUUUAA